RNAcentral lists this long non-coding RNA (633 nucleotides) under Phaseolus vulgaris (common bean). Its description in RNAcentral is "long non-coding RNA (PVUL_LNC003787)". Lineage: Eukaryota; Viridiplantae; Streptophyta; Magnoliopsida; Fabales; Fabaceae. The record is from RNAcentral.
AUGGCUCAUCUGGAUGUUUUCAAGAAGUUGCAUCUUGCUUGGAAAUCCUUAGGUUCUUGGAAGGAUAUAACUCUAGGUAAAAGUUUUUAUGAGUUUUAUUUUUUCCUUUCUUCAGAUAUGAGAUGUGUUUUUAAAUUUGGUUCUUGAAACAUGUUUUUUGGGGUUCUUUGAGUUUUUGCUUAGACCAAUGACUUUGUUCUAGUCACUAUGAAACUUACCAAAACUCAAUGUUGAAUGUGUAUGUAUACAUGGUCUACCUUUGGAGUAUUGACACCCAAGGGCUAUUUUCUCCACUACAAGAGGAGUUGAUACCUCUCUUUUGCUUGAUGAUUGCAAUAUGAACAAGAAGUGUGUUCUUUUCUUGUGAUCUUAUUGAUAUUGAUAUGCUUUCAGAAUUGUCUAACCAAAUAUUGAUGAAGAUCUCUAGUUUUGCUUUUGUUGUUGAUAUUGAAUAUGAAAACUUACCUCCUUUCUACUUUUCUUGCAAGAUGAUUGGGCACAAUAGCAAUAAUUGCAAAAGAUACAAGGUUGAAGAUAACAAUUUGUUAGUCUAGAGAAAGAAGUGAAUAUUGUUAAAUAGAUGUAUAUUCCUAAGAUAAAGAAGGACAAUGUUUCAGAUUUUCUUGAUACUAA